GACGAACGCUGGCGGCGUGCUUAACACAUGCAAGUCGAACGGAAAGUCCCUGCUUUUGUGGGGUGCUCGAGUUGCGACCGGGUGAGUAACCCUUGAGUACCCUGCCCUUCACUUUGGGAUAACUUCAUGACACUUGGUCUCAUACCGGCUAGGAGCUCCUGCUUCAUGGUGGGGGUUGGAAAGUUUCGGCGGUUGGGGAUGGACUCGCGUCUUAUCAGCUUGUUGGUGGGGUAGUGGCUUACCAAGGCUUUGACGGGUAGCCGGGCUGAGAGGGUCACCGGCCACAUUGGGACUGAGAUACGGCACAGACUAGUACGGGAGGCAGCAGUGGGGAAUAGUGCACAAUGGGCGGAAGCCUGAUGCAGCAAAGCCGCGUGGGGGAUGACGGCCUUGGGGUUGGAAACCGAAUUCGCCUGUGACGAAGCGAGAGUGACGGUAAUGGGUAAAGAAGCACCGGCUAACUACGU
This 467-nucleotide ribosomal RNA is filed under the name uncultured bacterium. RNAcentral describes it as "partial 16S ribosomal RNA". It matches the Rfam family "Bacterial small subunit ribosomal RNA", at positions 28 to 506 of the family's 1533-position model. The record is from RNAcentral.